AGUGAACGCUGGCGGUAGGCCUAACACAUGCAAGUCGAACGGCAGCACAGUAAGAGCUUGCUCUUACGGGUGGCGAGUGGCGGACGGGUGAGGAAUACAUCGGAAUCUACUUUUUCGUGGGGGAUAACGUAGGGAAACUUACGCUAAUACCGCAUACGACCUACGGGUGAAAGCAGGGGAUCUUCGGACCUUGCGCGAUUGAAUGAGCCGAUGUCGGAUUAGCUAGUUGGCGGGGUAAAGGCCCACCAAGGCGACGAUCCGUAGCUGGUCUGAGAGGAUGAUCAGCCACACUGGAACUGAGACACGGUCCAGACUCCUACGGGAGGCAGCAGUGGGGAAUAUUGGACAAUGGGCGCAAGCAUGAUCCAGCCAUACCGCGUGGGUGAAGAAGGCCUUCGGGUUGUAAAGCCCUUUUGUUGGGAAAGAAAAGCAGCAGGUUAAUACCCCGCUGUUCUGACGGUACCAAAAGAAUAAGCACCGGCUAACUUCGUG
This 492-nucleotide ribosomal RNA is filed under the name uncultured bacterium. RNAcentral describes it as "partial 16S ribosomal RNA". It matches the Rfam family "Bacterial small subunit ribosomal RNA", at positions 29 to 507 of the family's 1533-position model. The record is from RNAcentral.